This 460-nucleotide ribosomal RNA is filed under the name uncultured bacterium. Its description in RNAcentral is "partial 16S ribosomal RNA". It matches the Rfam family "Bacterial small subunit ribosomal RNA", at positions 338 to 795 of the family's 1533-position model. The record is from RNAcentral.
CCUACGGGAGGCUGCAGUGAGGAAUAUUGGUCAAUGGACGAGAGUCUGAACCAGCCAAGUAGCGUGAAGGAUGACUGCCCUAUGGGUUGUAAACUUCUUUUAUAUGGGAAUAAAACGUUCCACGUGUGGGAUUUUGUAUGUACCAUAUGAAUAAGGAUCGGCUAACUCCGUGCCAGCAGCCGCGGUAAUACGGAGGAUCCGAGCGUUAUCCGGAUUUAUUGGGUUUAAAGGGAGCGUAGGUGGAUUGUUAAGUCAGUUGUGAAAGUUUGCGGCUCAACCGUAAAAUUGCAGUUGAAACUGGCAGUCUUGAGCACAGUAGAGGUGGGCGGAAUUCGUGGUGUAGCGGUGAAAUGCUUAGAUAUCACGAAGAACUCCGAUUGCGAAGGCAGUUCACUGGACUGCAACUGACACUGAGGCUCGAAAGUGUGGGUAUCAAACAGGAUUAGAUACCCCAGUAGUC